GACAGAGGAUGCAAGCGUUAUCCGGAAUUAUUGGGCGUAAAGCGCACGUAGGCGGUUUGUUAAGUCGGAUGUGAAAUCCCUCGGCUCAACUGAGGAAGUGCAUCCGAAACUGGCAGGCUUGAGUACUAAAGAGGGUCGCGGAAUUCCCGGUGUAGAGGUGAAAUUCGUAGAUAUCGGGAGGAACACCGGUGGCGAAGGCGGCGACCUGGGUAGAUACUGACGCUGAGGUGCGAAAGCGUGGGGAGCAAACAGG
RNAcentral lists this ribosomal RNA (253 nucleotides) under uncultured bacterium. RNAcentral describes it as "partial 16S ribosomal RNA". It matches the Rfam family "Bacterial small subunit ribosomal RNA", at positions 524 to 776 of the family's 1533-position model. The record is from RNAcentral.